GCAAUUAACAAUAUUUCCAGGAGAAAUACAGUCCCUUUGCCUCUCUCUCCCUCACCUGCAAAAGUAGAAUAGACUGGGAGUUACAAACACCAGUGUUCCUUUAGUUUGCAUUUUCCCACAAUUAGAUGGGUAAAGAAAUGUGACUGUGGGCAAUCACCAUGCUUUAAUGAAAGCCUUUUUCAGCUUGAGAAAACAUUAUCUGAUUGAUAGUGGCUUUCCUAGCUGAAAAUAAAUGGUUACUGCUUAAAGGGUAAGAGUCUCUCUGUGAGCUACAGGGCUACCUAGGUGAACCAUGAGCACAAUUGUUUUCAACCAACAAAACCUUAUCAAAGAGGUUGUACCGAUGGCCUCUUAAAAUAGAUGAGCCACUCAAAGAGUCUGGAGGUGCUGUAUUCUGUGUCUUCUCAGAUGUACACAGUAUACCAAUAAAGAAACAUGGUUCCUAGGUCAGAUAUAUACCUUUUGCUGAUUGUAUG
This 476-nucleotide long non-coding RNA is filed under the name Bos taurus (domestic cattle). Its description in RNAcentral is "long non-coding RNA NONBTAT009730". Lineage: Eukaryota; Metazoa; Chordata; Mammalia; Artiodactyla; Bovidae. The record is from RNAcentral.